GGGUUGUGAGGUUAAGCGACUAAGCGUACACGGUGGAUGCCCUGGCAGUCAGAGGCGAUGAAGGACGUGCUAAUCUGCGAAAAGCGUCGGUAAGGUGAUAUGAACCGUUAUAACCGGCGAUGUCCGAAUGGGGAAACCCAGUGCAAUUCGUUGCACUAUCGUUAACUGAAUACAUAGGUUAACGAGGCGAACCGGGGGAACUGAAACAUCUAAGUACCCCGAGGAAAAGAAAUCAACCGAGAUUCCCCCAGUAGCGGCGAGCGAACGGGGAGCAGCCCAGAGUCUGAAUCAGCUUGUGUGUUAGUGGAACGGUCUGGAAAGUCCGACGGUACAGGGUGAUAGUCCCGUACACCAAAAUGCACAGGCUGUGAACUCGAAGAGUAGGGCGGGACACGUGGUAUCCUGUCUGAAUAUGGGGGGACCAUCCUCCAAGGCUAAAUACUCCUGACUGACCGAUAGUGAACCAGUACCGUGAGGGAAAGGCGAAAAGAACCCCGGCGAGGGGAGUGAAAAAGAACCUGAAACCGUGUACGUACAAGCAGUGGGAGCACCUUCGGGUGUGACUGCGUACCUUUUGUAUAAUGGGUCAGCGACUUAUAUUCUGUAGCAAGGUUAACCGUAUAGGGGAGCCGCAGGGAAACCGAGUCUUAACUGGGCGUUAAGUUGCAGGGUAUAGACCCGAAACCCGGUGAUCUAGCCAUGGGCAGGUUGAAGGUUGGGUAACACUAACUGGAGGACCGAACCGACUAAUGUUGAAAAAUUAGCGGAUGACUUGUGGCUG
This 781-nucleotide ribosomal RNA is filed under the name Klebsiella pneumoniae. RNAcentral's name for it is "bacterial LSU rRNA". It matches the Rfam family "Bacterial large subunit ribosomal RNA", at positions 1 to 817 of the family's 2925-position model. Lineage: Bacteria; Pseudomonadati; Pseudomonadota; Gammaproteobacteria; Enterobacterales; Enterobacteriaceae. The record is from RNAcentral.